CAUGCAAGUCGAACGAGAGAUGAGGAGCUUGCUCCUCAAAUCGAGUGGCGAACGGGUGAGUAACGCGUGAGGAACCUGCCUCAAAGAGGGGGACAACAGUUGGAAACGACUGCUAAUACCGCAUAAGCCCACGGCUCGGCAUCGAGCAGGGGGAAAAGGAGCAAUCCGCUUUGAGAUGGCCUCGCGUCCGAUUAGCUAGUUGGUGAGGUAAUGGCCCACCAAGGCGACGAUCGGUAGCCGGACUGAGAGGUUGAACGGCCACAUUGGGACUGAGACACGGCCCAGACUCCUACGGGAGGCAGCAGUGGGGAAUAUUGCACAAUGGGGGAAACCCUGAUGCAGCGACGCCGCGUGGAGGAAGAAGGUCUUCGGAUUGUAAACUCCUGUUGUUGAGGAAGAUAAUGACGGUACUCAACAAGGAAGUGACGGCUAACUACGUGCCAGCAGCCGCGGUAAAACGUAGGUCACAAGCGUUGUCCGGAAUUACUGGGUGUAAAGGGAGCGCAGGCGGGAGAACAAGUUGGAAGUGAAAUCCAUGGGCUCAACCCAUGAACUGCUUUCAAAACUGUUUUUCUUGAGUAGUGCAGAGGUAGGCGGAAUUCCCGGUGUAGCGGUGGAAUGCGUAGAUAUCGGGAGGAACACCAGUGGCGAAGGCGGCCUACUGGGCACCAACUGACGCUGAGGCUCGAAAGUGUGGGUAGCAAACAGGAUUAGAUACCCUGGUAGUCCACACCGUAAA
This 739-nucleotide ribosomal RNA is filed under the name uncultured bacterium. RNAcentral describes it as "bacterial SSU rRNA". It matches the Rfam family "Bacterial small subunit ribosomal RNA", at positions 54 to 806 of the family's 1533-position model. The record is from RNAcentral.